ACUAGCAUGGUGCAUUGGUUUGAACAUUGGACUAUAACUCCAAAGACUAGGGUUCGAAUCUUGGGCAUGGA
This is a non-coding RNA of Phrynosoma platyrhinos (Desert horned lizard), 71 nucleotides long. NCBI's taxonomy places the organism in Eukaryota, Metazoa, Chordata, Lepidosauria, Squamata, Phrynosomatidae. The record is from the annotation of a GenBank genome assembly.